Molecule: ribosomal RNA, 385 nt
Filed under: uncultured cyanobacterium
Lineage: Bacteria; Bacillati; Cyanobacteriota
Description: bacterial SSU rRNA
Rfam family: Bacterial small subunit ribosomal RNA
Source: RNAcentral
CGAAAGCCUUGACGGGAGCAAGACCGCGUGAGGGAGGAAGGCUCUAAGGGUUUGUUAAACCCCUUUUAUCAGGGAAUAAGCAAUGAAGGUACCUGAGGAAUCAGCAUCGGCUAACUCCGUGCCAAGCAGCCGCGGUAAUACGGAGGAUGCAAGCGUUAUCCGGAAUCAUUGGGCGUAAAGCGUCCGCAGGUGGUAGUUCAAGUCGAUUGUCAAAGGCAGUAGCUUAACUACUGACAGGCAGUGGAAACUGAGUCACUAGAGUGCGGUAGGGGUAGAGGGAAUUCCCGGUGUAGCGGUGAAAUGCGUAGAGAUCGGGAAGAACACCAGUGGCGAAAGCGCUCUGCUGGACCAGCACUGACACUGAGGGACGAAAGCUAGGGGAGCG